This 506-nucleotide ribosomal RNA is filed under the name uncultured bacterium. Its description in RNAcentral is "partial 16S ribosomal RNA". It matches the Rfam family "Bacterial small subunit ribosomal RNA", at positions 30 to 523 of the family's 1533-position model. The record is from RNAcentral.
AUUGAACGCUGGCGGCAGGCUUAACACAUGCAAGUCGAGCGGCAGCGGAAAGUAGCUUGCUACUUUGCCGGCGAGCGGCGGACGGGUGAGUAAUGUCUGGGAAACUGCCUGAUGGAGGGGGAUAACUACCGGAAACGGUAGCUAAUACCGCAUAACGUCGCAAGACCAAAGAGGGGGACCUUCGGGCCUCUUGCCAACAGAUGUGCCCAGAUGGGAUUAGCUAGUAGGUGGGGUAACGGCUCACCUAGGCGACGAUCCCUAGCUGGUCUGAGAGGAUGACCAGCCACACUGGAACUGAGACACGGUCCAGACUCCUACGGGAGGCAGCAGUGGGGAAUAUUGCACAAUGGGCGCAAGCCUGAUGCAGCCAUGCCGCGUGUAUGAAGAAGGCCUUCGGGUUGUAAAGUACUUUCAGCGGGGAGGAAGGCGUUGAGGUUAAUAACCUCAGCGAUUGACGUUACCCGCAGAAGAAGCACCGGCUAACUCCGUGCCAGCAGCCGCGGUAA